Molecule: non-coding RNA, 2028 nt
Organism: Tetranychus urticae (two-spotted spider mite)
Lineage: Eukaryota; Metazoa; Arthropoda; Arachnida; Trombidiformes; Tetranychidae
Source: RefSeq, a predicted model, not a curated record
ACAUCGUCUGCAGUUACAUAGCCAAUGUUUUUUUGUUGAUCAAUUUGUUAAUUGUUUUGUGAUGUUUAUACAACUAAUAAUUAGUUCAAUUGAUUAGUUUAAAAUUUUUUAGUCCAUCCUAGUUUAGUUAUUAACUAAUUUGCUUCAUUUUAUUAUUUGUUUGCCUCGUUUCCUUUUGCUUCUCAUCGUUUUAUAUCCAGUACUUUGUUUCACCAAUACAUUUGUGUCUAUAGUCAAGUCUCUACAUUGACAACACCAUCUUAACCGGAUGCAUCUUCCUAUUCAUUUACAUCCUUCAUCAUCAUCUACAUCAUCACCAUCAUCAGUAUAAUCAUCAUUAUCAUCUUGUGUUUCUAGAAACAAAAAAAUAAAUAAACAAAUGUUGUUACUCUAAGAUGAUGUUGAUGUUGAAUACAAUUUUGUUUGUCUUGUGAAAAAAAGCUGUAACUAUUAAGGUUUUGCUUCCAAUCAAAAUGUAUCAACAAUCUCAAAAAUAUUUUACUUAUUAAUUAGACAAUCAUCUAAUUAACGAAAGUUAAAGCUCAGGUAAACACCUCAAAGAUUGAAUUGCAGCUACUGGUUAACAGCCCUAGAGACAUGGACAGGUUAGAUUUCAACAGUGAAUCUUUAUCUUAAAGCCUUGGAAAAAUCAACACUAAACCACUUAAAUUGGCUGGAUUAUGUUGAUUAACAUUUUUGACACUUUGCUUGAUCUCAAGUGUCGAACCAUUAAGAUAAUUACAAUCAUUGAUCACAAAUAUUGAAAUUGAAAGAUAAACCAAUUUAAUUGAAAAAAAUCACGUAAAGUAAGUAAAUGUGUGGACAAAAAAGAAGCGUAGACAAGCAAUUUACCUCUCAAUUUAAGUCUCAAUUCAAGCUUCAAGACUACUUUAUUGUAACCUGCAACAAAUGAUUACAAGCCAAUGAAGUGAAAAGUGAAGUCCAACUUAACCGGUCACAAACCACAAGAUGCUUGAAUUUCUUAUGGCCCAUCUUGCUAUAAAAAUGGGAAACUAUCAUCAUCUUGAUCAUUAUCAUCAUCACCAUCAUCAUCAUAAUCAUUAUCAUCAUCAAAUCUAUCAACAACUCCUCCUACCUGGUUUACUUUGAAUGUAUUUUCAGAAGCAAGAAUUGUUAUUGUUGCUGUUGAUAUCAUUUACGGUUAAUUUCAGGUUGAUUGGAGUAAACUGCCUCUAAAAAAGUGUAUUUAUAUUGGAGCAAAUAAUAUAUAUAUUGGUGAAUCAAUGAAGUCUUCACAAUGUUGAUCGUUUUUGUUAUCUCGCUGUUUACAGUAUUUUUUAUCCUGCUCAUCACUUCAUAACUUGUUUUGAUGCAAUUUUUUGUCUCCUCAUUUUAAAGCUCAACAAAAUAAAUUGCGGUGAUAAAUGAUUAUUAUCAGACUAGGGCGAGUGCCCAAAACCAAACAUACACGAUACCAUGUGCUGAUAUAAUUGUAUCAUGUCAAUCAAUGAUGAGCAGUUUUUUGCAUUCCAACGUUGACCAUGAUUUUGUUGACUCUCCUGUAUUAACACAUUGUCGGACAACGCUUUUCUACCUUUUUUGCCAAUUUGAUCACUCAGCCAGAUUUACACAAAACUUGGGACAAUUUAUGUAUUUAUCUCAACAUGAAUCCAUCAACAAUCUCGUCUAAUGAUGCAGGAAAAGGCAACAAAAAGCUUCAUUUCAUUGCGCGUGAUUAACUGGAAACCAAACUCUGUGAUUGCUCAGAUUCAAUAAAUGAAAAUUGAUUUGACUGUAUAUAAUUAACUGCUUUGCAAUCCUUUGAUUCUGUUUUUGGGAUGAAAAAAGGAAAGCGUUGUAGUGAAGACAAAAAAUGAUCUUUAACUAGAAACUUUGUAUCUAUUUUGGCAUUUUUUUGGCUUUACUCAAAAACUAUUUGGCCCCAGAGUUGAACAAGAUGUAAUGCAAAAAAAAGGAUAAAUGCAUCUUCAUGUAUCUUCAUUUCAAACAAACUGUAAUUCAGUUUCUCAAGAAACAUUAAAUCAAGAUAAAGUAACCAAUGGAUAA